CUGGCGGCGUGCCUAAUACAUGCAAGUCGAACGCACUCUCGUUUAGGAUUGAAGGAGCUUGCUCCUGAUUGAUAAACAUUUGAGUGAGUGGCGGACGGGUGAGUAACACGUGGGUAACCUGCCCUAAAGUGGGGGAUAACAUUUGGAAACAGAUGCUAAUACCGCACAAACCUAACACCGCAUGGUGUAGGGUUGAAAGAUGGUUUCGGCUAUCACUUUAGGAUGGACCCGCGGUGCAUUAGUUAGUUGGUGAGGUAAAGGCUCACCAAGACCGUGAUGCAUAGCCGACCUGAGAGGGUAAUCGGCCACACUGGGACUGAGACACGGCCCAGACUCCUACGGGAGGCAGCAGUAGGGAAUCUUCCACAAUGGACGAAAGUCUGAUGGAGCAACGCCGCGUGAGUGAAGAAGGUUUUCGGAUCGUAAAACUCUGUUGUUGGAGAAGAAUGUAUCUGAUAGUAACUGAUCAGGUAGUGACGGUAUCCAUCCAGAAAGCCACGGCUAACUACGUG
This 512-nucleotide ribosomal RNA is filed under the name uncultured bacterium. RNAcentral describes it as "bacterial SSU rRNA". It matches the Rfam family "Bacterial small subunit ribosomal RNA", at positions 36 to 507 of the family's 1533-position model. The record is from RNAcentral.